CAAGUUGAUACCAUAACUUCAAACUAAAAUUUUUUGUUCUCCUAGCCUACAAACAUAAAUUAACCUUUUAGCUUCAUUUAGUGUUCCGUUUAUAUUUGUACAGAACAUACACUACUAAAUUUUCAACAACCAACGAUCAGACAACGUAUUUCAUCCCAGCUAGAAACCGUAUAUACAACUCCGGAUCUUCGAUUCCAACUAAAACCGCUUCCUUCUACAUGCUCUCUUUGUUUCAUGACUAAUCCAAGCCACAAAGGCAUGAACGAAACGCCAAAAUGGCCCCCGACUUUUCUAAGACUUGAGCUUGAGCCGAUCACAAUGCCUAUGUCUGCUUCUACAAGGCAAAGUAAGUCGCCAAUCGAGUCACCAAUGUAGAUCGUUAUAUUUGUUUGGUCACAUUGAUCAUGUUCUUUCAAAACGUCAUUGAAGACGUGAAGCUUGUCGAGAGGGGACUCUACUUUUUUCAUGAUUUCACCAGUCGAUAGAAGGCCUUCAUAGAUGAACUCAUUUGCAUGUAGUUCCAGAUUGUGUAUACCCCCUGAAACAUGGCACAUUAUAUACAACAUAUCUUAAAACACUCGUCAUAUUAGAGGGGUGAAUUUUUGACACAACACGAACCUAACAUGAAAUUCACGGGUUUGAGGUUGGAAUAAAGUGGACCACGUCAUUUUCAGGUAGACAAGUGAACAUGUUUAGCUAAACGAGUCGUAUCUGGGUCAACAUGGGUGGUUUCCGGGUUAGUCCGUUAGACAUCUAGUUUCAUAGUUUAAAUGUAAAAUUAAUAUUUUAUUAUAUUUGUUUUUUCAUUUGUAAAUUUGCAAAUAUUAGAGUACUAAUACGCAAAAAUAAACAAAAUUUCGGGUUACACAGGUCUACUUUUUGUCAACCGUUAAACCUCGUGUUGUGUUUGGGGUCAUGUUUCUACCCACAAACACGACCUAUUUAGCACCUAUUGGCAUUAUAUUGAAUAAGAUAGAAAGCAGAUUGCUUGUGAACAAUUUAUGAGCAAUUAAAGUGUUACCUGAUUCAAAUGUAGACCUGAUAAGAUCACCACACCAGCAAUAAGACACAACAUGGAUACUUGCAUUCAAAUUUUGAUCUUUCAUAACACUCUGAAAGAAAUCCAUGCAACCAUCUUGAAGAACAAGAUGUUGACCCGCGUGUUUUAUGUCAUCAAGAUUUAAACCUCUAAGUAUCUUAGAUUCAGUCACUCUCGUAUUUGCCCUUUUCUCAAAGUCUGAUAGUUGUUCAAGUGCUUUCCGUAAACCCUCGUAGUCAAAUUUCUCCCCUUUUUAAAAUGAAAAAAAAAAAGAAAUUUUUAUUUUUUUAUAUUCAUAAUUCAAAUUCCUUAAUGCGUUGUUCAUGUUUAAAAAGUAACAUGAUGCUUUACCUUUCUGAUUGACCAACAUAGUUUCCAUUAAAUGUUCAUAUUCUUCUGCAUAUUGCUUAACUAAUGCUUCCCAUGUGUUUUUCAAUUUGGUCAAGGGCAUCUUGGUAAUUUGACUUUGACUUUGAUUUUCGGGUUGGGCUUGACCCGGAGUUGGUGAUGUAGCCAUAGCAAUAUCAGCGAAAACAGUACAUGAAUCAACUACUGUGCAUGUCAAAUCAAAAUCAGAGAAAAUUGUAACACGGUUGUGCUCCUUUGAUAAUGGAACGACGGUCUGCUGAUCAAUAGGUUGGGCUAAAAAGAACUCCAUCUCGAGUUUCAUUGCUUGCUGAUAAAGUUUUUGCAAAAUAUCAAGUUCUACACCAGUCAAAGUGACACUUAAUUUGUCAAGCAAGUUCUCACUUUGGAGCGCCGCCGCCUAAUAUUUUAAGAAAUGCCAAUGAACCCGAGUCAUAAACGUGUCAUGCCAGAAAGUAGAGGUUGCAAUUUCAACCCAUUUGCUUAUAAAUAGGCUCACUCAAGUAAUGAGUUAUAUCUAAUGGGUCAGACAGAUCAUCAUCGUCAUCAUCAUACUUAGUAAAUCUCACCAAUAGCAAAGCAAAGGUAGGGUCUGAGGAGGGUAAGAUGUAGACAGCCUUACUUCUACCCCGUAGGGAUAGAGAGACUGCUUCCAGUGAGACCCCCGGCUCGAUAGUAGUUUUGCAUCAAGCCUUGGACAUAAGGCACAUAACACUCAGCAAUCGAGACAAAGACCGAUUAGUGCAUGUACCCUUUAGUCUUUCAGCUAUCAACACCACCACAUGAUGCAUGAUUAACCGUCCUCAGAUUUUAGCGUUAUUUUCACGAAAUUAGUAUAAUAAUGUUAAAAUUAGUGCCCUUUCUUUUUUGCCCCCCGAUGGCCCACAGGCCCCACACAUAUAAACAUUAUAUGCGAAUACCGCAAGCGGGGCGUAUAAUGGGUCAGACAGAUAAAUAGCUAAAAAUGGAAAUGUGUCAACCAGGCCGAACAUUGCACAAAGUGUAUUUUAUUCUAAAACUUAGAUUCUUGUUGAACAAAAAUAAUUUUACUAAUAACAAUUAGCUAACUAAAUGUUUUA
This 2484-nucleotide long non-coding RNA is filed under the name Helianthus annuus (common sunflower). RNAcentral's name for it is "hypothetical non coding rna". The record is from RNAcentral. Lineage: Eukaryota; Viridiplantae; Streptophyta; Magnoliopsida; Asterales; Asteraceae.